UAACGGCGAGUGAAGCGGCAACAGCUCAAAUUUGAAAUCUGGCUCUUUUAGAGUCCGAGUUGUAAUUUGCAGAGGGCGCUUUGGCUUUGGCAGCGGUCCAAGUUCCUUGGAACAGGACGUCACAGAGGGUGAGAAUCCCGUACGUGGUCGCUGGCUAUUGCCGUGUAAAGCCCCUUCGACGAGUCGAGUUGUUUGGGAAUGCAGCUCUAAAUGGGAGGUACAUUUCUUCUAAAGCUAAAUAUUGGCCAGAGACCGAUAGCGCACAAGUAGAGUGAUCGAAAGAUGAAAAGCACUUUGGAAAGAGAGUCAAACAGCACGUGAAAUUGUUGAAAGGGAAGCGCUUGCAGCCAGACUUGCUUACAGUUGCUCAUCCGGGUUUCUACCCGGUGCACUCUUCUGUAGGCAGGCCAGCAUCAGUUUGGGCGGUAGGAUAAAGGUCUCUGUCACGUACCUCCUUUCGGGGAGGCCUUAUAGGGGAGACGACAUACUACCAGCCUGGACUGAGGUCCGCGCAUCUGCUAGGAUGCUGGCGUAAUGGCUGUAAGCGGCCCGUCUUGAAACACGGACCAAGGAGUCUAACAUCUAUGCGAGUGUUUGGGUGUCAAGCCCGAGCGCGUAAUGAAAGUGAACGGAGGUGGGAACCCGCAAGGGUGCACCAUCGACCGAUCCUGAUGUCUUCGGAAGGAUUUGAGUAAGAGCAUGGCUGUUGGGACCCGAAAGAUGGUGAACUAUGCUUGAAUAGGGUGAAGCCAGAGGAAACUCUGGUGGAGGCUCGCAGCGGUUCUGACGUGCAAAUCGAUCGUCAAAUUUGGGCAUAGGGGCGAAAGACUAAUCGAACUAUCUAGUAGCUGGUUCCUGCCGAAGUUUCCCUCAGGAUAGCAGUAACGUAUUCAGUUUUAUGAGGUAAAGCGAAUGAUUAGAGGCCUGGGGGUUGAAACAACCUUCACCUAUUCUCAAACUUUAAAUAUGUAAGAAGUCCUUGUUACUUAAUUGAACGUGGACAGUUGAAUGAAACGUUAUUAGUGGGCCAUUUUUGGUAAGCAGAACUGGCGAUGCGGGAUGAACCGAACGAGGGGUUAAAGUGCCGGAAUAUACGCUCAUCAGACACCACAAAAGGUGUUGGUUCAUCUAGACAGCAGGACGGUGGCCAUGGAAGUCGGAAUCCGCUAAGGAGUGUGUAACAACUCACCUGCCGAAUGAACUAGCCCUGAAAAUGGAUGGCGCUCAAGCGUGUUACUUAUACCCCUCCGCUGGGGCAAAAUUUACGCCCCAGCGAGUAGGCAGGCGUGGAGGUCCGUGACG
RNAcentral lists this ribosomal RNA (1302 nucleotides) under Alternaria alternata. Its description in RNAcentral is "partial large subunit ribosomal RNA". It matches the Rfam family "Eukaryotic large subunit ribosomal RNA", at positions 84 to 1405 of the family's 3401-position model. Lineage: Eukaryota; Fungi; Ascomycota; Dothideomycetes; Pleosporales; Pleosporaceae. The record is from RNAcentral.